This 44-nucleotide ribosomal RNA is filed under the name Coniosporium sp. SL08581. RNAcentral's name for it is "partial 18S ribosomal RNA". The record is from RNAcentral. Lineage: Eukaryota; Fungi; Ascomycota; Dothideomycetes.
GGCGGGCCCGCGGUGUAAUGCCGCUGCCGGCUCGCGCUGGUCAG